This 426-nucleotide long non-coding RNA is filed under the name Homo sapiens (human). RNAcentral's name for it is "HSALNT0089717". Lineage: Eukaryota; Metazoa; Chordata; Mammalia; Primates; Hominidae. The record is from RNAcentral.
GGGAUCCUUUACUUCACAUAGGAAGUAUGUGACCUCCAGGUACCAAGCACUCUGAAAGAGAGCUUCGAUUCAAACAAAGUAAGCAGUUGGAUUCCUCUUCGUUCAGCUUUAACCAAACUUGAGUAAGAACUCCCUGACUUGGAAACACUCAAGUUUCCCACACAUGACUGGAUGGCCCUGGCCACACUGGGAACGGAAUGGGGGCCUCCCAUUGGAACUCAGGGUGGAGGGGGAAGCUCGACCAGCUAUUGUGGCCCCCACUUCCAUUGACAAAAAAGAAAACCUGCAGAUUCCAUUGAUCUGGCAUGGAGCUGGAUGUCUUUCAGGAUGAAGAGUUUUCAUUAAAACACAGCCACAACAAAGCAAGAAAAAAGAGCAAUUGAUGUAAGCAUGCCAGUCAGGUUCACAUGUUAAGAAACAGAAUAA